UACGGAGGGUGCAAGCGUUGUUCGGAAUCAUUGGGCGUAAAGCGCGUGUAGGCGGCUAGCUAAGUCUGGUGUGAAAUCCCGGGGCUCAACCCCGGAAGUGCACUGGAUACUGGUUGGCUAGAGAUCGAGAGGGGGAAGCGGAAUUCCUGGUGUAGGGGUGAAAUCCGUAGAUAUCAGGAGGAACACCGGAGGCGAAGGCGGCUUCCUGGCUCGAUACUGACGCUGAGACGCGAAAGCGUGGGGAGCAAACAGG
RNAcentral lists this ribosomal RNA (253 nucleotides) under uncultured bacterium. Its description in RNAcentral is "partial 16S ribosomal RNA". It matches the Rfam family "Bacterial small subunit ribosomal RNA", at positions 524 to 776 of the family's 1533-position model. The record is from RNAcentral.